Molecule: long non-coding RNA, 771 nt
Organism: Rana temporaria (common frog)
Lineage: Eukaryota; Metazoa; Chordata; Amphibia; Anura; Ranidae
Exons: 4
Source: RefSeq, a predicted model, not a curated record
AUCAGAGACUCAGCAGCUGACGCUGUUCAGCAUGAGCUCUGGUAGAGACAAUAGAAGCCAUUUUCUUGUGGACACAGCCCGAUACAGAUUCAUCUGGUACAUCAGCGUUUUGGCUGGUCAAGCCCUUAAUGAAAACCCUGCUGCUAUGUGAAGUUUGCACAUGGGAACUUUUUUCCUGGUUGGUUCAUAAUUGGGGUGAAGCAGCAUAUCCCGCUAGCUGGGAUUCCUUACAUCUAGGGAAUUGUCUCCCCACGGUCGCUCUCUCUCGGGCUCCCGCCCUGUUUAUCUCAGAACACCACCCACCGUGGGUUCCUGACGAAGCCCAUACAGGGCGAAACUAGUUGAACCUUCAACACGAGUGGCAUGAAGCAGACUAUUUGCAGCCAUUUGCAUUUACAGUACUUUUUCUAUCCAAAUAUGAUUGUUUUUAGCAUUUGUUAAAAUAUAUUUAUUCUAAAUUUGUAUUAAUACAUUUUUCUUAUUUUCUACUUAAACGCUCAUCGUAUAUAUGUGAUUCAGAUGAUUGGGGUUUGACUAAACUCUUGUACACAUAUCUACUCUAUUCAUCUAUCAUGCAUCACCAAAAUCCCACACCAUAUCCUGUCAUGGGAAACACCUCUAAUCCUGGGAACUAUGUCAUAGGUAGAGUUCUCGCCUUCCUACAGUUAGAAGUGGAGAUGAAGCUAGCCUUGAGUACUAUCAAGGGUCAAGUCUCGGCCUUGUCAGUAUUUUUCCAAAAGCCACUUGCUUCACAUUCUUUGGUCCAGGCUU